This 466-nucleotide ribosomal RNA is filed under the name uncultured bacterium. RNAcentral's name for it is "bacterial SSU rRNA". It matches the Rfam family "Bacterial small subunit ribosomal RNA", at positions 328 to 792 of the family's 1533-position model. The record is from RNAcentral.
UGGCCAGACUCCUACGGGAGGCAGCAGUGAGGAAUAUUGGUCAAUGGGCGCGAGCCUGAACCAGCCAAGUCGCGUGAGGGAAGACGGUCCUAUGGAUUGUAAACCUCUUUUGUCGGGGAGCAAAAGACGCCACGCGUGGCGUUCCGAGAGUACCCGAAGAAAAAGCAUCGGCUAACUCCGUGCCAGCAGCCGCGGUAAUACGGAGGAUGCGAGCGUUAUCCGGAUUUAUUGGGUUUAAAGGGUGCGCAGGCGGCGAGUUAAGUCAGCGGUAAAAUUUCGGGGCUCAACCCCGACAAGCCGUUGAAACUGGCUUGCUAGAGUGGGCGAGAAGUAUGCGGAAUGCGUGGUGUAGCGGUGAAAUGCAUAGAUAUCACGCAGAACUCCGAUUGCGAAGGCAGCAUACCGGCGCCCAACUGACGCUCAGGCACGAAAGCGUGGGUAUCGAACAGGAUUAGAUACCCGCGUA